RNAcentral lists this long non-coding RNA (256 nucleotides) under Cyanistes caeruleus (blue tit). RNAcentral's name for it is "lncRNA (ENSCCEG00000014072.1)". The record is from RNAcentral. Lineage: Eukaryota; Metazoa; Chordata; Aves; Passeriformes; Paridae.
GGCUCUGGGGUGACGCGCGGGUUCCUUCCUGAGGGGGCACGGGACGACCCCAGCCCCACAUCGCCACCAGGCCCCACCUUCUCCGCGCCCGGCGGCUAAAAAUACUCCCCACAGCUGAAUGGGGAAGUGCCUACAUGACAAGGAAGAACAUCACUGGGAAGACUCCAGGGAGACACCAGAGGAUUUGCUGAGAGGAGCGAUGGAUUCAAUGUCUGCAGCCAGUCCAGCACUUAACCUCUUCAUCCACAGCAACUGA